Molecule: ribosomal RNA, 492 nt
Filed under: uncultured bacterium
Lineage: Bacteria
Description: partial 16S ribosomal RNA
Rfam family: Bacterial small subunit ribosomal RNA
Source: RNAcentral
AGUGAACGCUGGCGAUAGGCCUAACACAUGCAAGUCGAACGGCAGCACAGUAAGAGCUUGCUCUUACGGGUGGCGAGUGGCGGACGGGUGAGGAAUACAUCGGAAUCUACUUUUUCGUGGGGGAUAACGUAGGGAAACUUACGCUAAUACCGCAUACGACCUACGGGUGAAAGCAGGGGAUCUUCGGACCUUGCGCGAUUGAAUUAGCCGAUGUCGGAUUAGCUAGUUGGCGGGGUAACGGCCCACCAAGGCGACGAUCCGUAGCUGGUCUGAGAGGAUGAUCAGCCACACUGGAACUGAGACACGGUCCAGACUCCUACGGGAGGCAGCAGUGGGGAAUAUUGCGCAAUGGGCGAAAGCCUGAUCCAGCCACACCGCGUGGGUGAAGAAGGCCUUCGGGUUGUAAAGCCCUUUUGUUAGGAAAGAAAAGCAGCAGGUUAAUCCCCCGCUGUUCUGACGGUACCCAAAGAAUAAGCACCGGCUAACUUCGUG